Molecule: ribosomal RNA, 451 nt
Filed under: uncultured bacterium
Lineage: Bacteria
Also listed under: 1 other name
Description: bacterial SSU rRNA
Rfam family: Bacterial small subunit ribosomal RNA
Source: RNAcentral
GUGGGGAAUAUUGGACAAUGGGGGGAACCCUGAUCCAGCCAUGCCGCGUGUGUGAAGAAGGCCUUUUGGUUGUAAAGCACUUUAAGCGAGGAGGAGGCUACCGAGAUUAAUACUCUUGGAUAGUGGACGUUACUCGCAGAAUAAGCACCGGCUAACUCUGUGCCAGCAGCCGCGGUAAUACAGAGGGUGCAAGCGUUAAUCGGAUUUACUGGGCGUAAAGCGCGCGUAGGUGGCCAAUUAAGUCAAAUGUGAAAUCCCCGAGCUUAACUUGGGAAUUGCAUUCGAUACUGGUUGGCUAGAGUAUGGGAGAGGAUGGUAGAAUUCCAGGUGUAGCGGUGAAAUGCGUAGAGAUCUGGAGGAAUACCGAUGGCGAAGGCAGCCAUCUGGCCUAAUACUGACACUGAGGUGCGAAAGCAUGGGGAGCAAACAGGAUUAGAAACCCUAGUAGUCC